Oncorhynchus tshawytscha (Chinook salmon) is the source of this 519-nucleotide long non-coding RNA. The record is from Ensembl. Lineage: Eukaryota; Metazoa; Chordata; Actinopteri; Salmoniformes; Salmonidae.
GGAGGCUAUAUACAGGGGGUACCGGUACAGAGUCAAUGUGGAGGCUAUAUACAGGGGGUACCGGUACAGAGUCAAUGUGGAGGCUAUAUACAGGGGGUAACGGUACAGAGUCAAUGUGGAGGCUAUAUACAGGGGGUACCGGUACAGAGUCAAUGUGGAGGCUAUAUACAGGGGGUACCGGUACAGAGUCAAUGUGGAGGCUAUAUACAGGGGGUGCCGGUACAGAGUCAAUGUGGAGGCUAUAUACAGGGGGUACUGGUACAGAGUCAAUGUGGAGGCUAUAUACAGGGGGUACCGGUACAGAGUCAAUGUGGAGGCUAUAUACAGGGGGUACCGGUACAGAGUCAAUGUGGAGGCUAUAUACAGGGGGGUACCGGUACAGAGUCAAUGUGGAGGCUAUAUACAGGGGGUACCGGUACAGAGUCAAUGUGGAGGCUAUAUACAGGGUAUUACGGUACAGAGUCAAUGUGGAGGCUAUAUACAGGGUAUUACGGUACAGAGUCAAUGUGGAGGCUAUAU